RNAcentral lists this transfer RNA (77 nucleotides) under Gammaproteobacteria bacterium. RNAcentral's name for it is "tRNA-Met". It matches the Rfam family "tRNA". From Rfam's summary of the family: Transfer RNA (tRNA) molecules are approximately 80 nucleotides in length. The record is from RNAcentral. RNAcentral also lists the same sequence under 2 other names. Lineage: Bacteria; Pseudomonadati; Pseudomonadota; Gammaproteobacteria.
UGCGGGGUGGAGCAGCUUGGUAGCUCGUCGGGCUCAUAACCCGAAGGUCGUUGGUUCAAAUCCAACCCCCGCUACCA